Molecule: long non-coding RNA, 397 nt
Filed under: Linum usitatissimum (flax)
Lineage: Eukaryota; Viridiplantae; Streptophyta; Magnoliopsida; Malpighiales; Linaceae
Description: long non-coding RNA (LUSI_LNC001427)
Source: RNAcentral
GACGGAAAGAAGGUGUCGCAGAUAGAAAUGAGCGACAUCAUCUCCCUCUCCGUUAUAUCAGUCGUCAUUAAACGGCCGUCACCGGCGUUAGGCGGCCUUCCAAAGUCAAUUACUACUGUAGUACUCUCCUCCUUAACAUCCGUUCCCUCCCGUCGCUGCAUCAUCACCAUCAAACACACAAACAAAAUAUAAUUAACUACCCAAUUUCCAGACUAGUGAGUUAUAAUUCGUGACCAAGAGGAUCUCUGCUAUAUUUAUAUAUAUACAGAGGAAAUUAGAGCGAUCGUGAUGAGACGAAGAACAGAGAGAGGGGGGAGUACGUGGAGAGGAGAUAAAAUAGAAAAACGUCAAUUGGAAUGCAUGCAAAACUUAACCCAAUUGAAUCCUCCUGAUGAUC